Small nuclear RNA from Molossus molossus (Pallas's mastiff bat), 157 nucleotides. RefSeq annotates it as U1 spliceosomal RNA. The record is from RefSeq and is a predicted model, not a curated record. NCBI's taxonomy places the organism in Eukaryota, Metazoa, Chordata, Mammalia, Chiroptera, Molossidae. The transcript has a single exon.
UCACUGGAGGGGAGAUACCAUGAUUACAAAGGCAGUUUUCCCAGGGGGAAGCUUAUCCAGUGCACUCUGGAUGUGCUGACCCCUGCGAUUUCCCCAAAUGUUGGAAACUCGACUGCACAGUUAGUGGUAGUGGGGGACUGCUUCAUGCUCUCCCCCA